This 776-nucleotide ribosomal RNA is filed under the name uncultured bacterium. RNAcentral's name for it is "bacterial SSU rRNA". It matches the Rfam family "Bacterial small subunit ribosomal RNA", at positions 28 to 793 of the family's 1533-position model. The record is from RNAcentral.
AGUGAACGCUGGCGGCAGGCCUAACACAUGCAAGUCGAACGGCAGCACAGGGGAGCUUGCUCCCUGGGUGGCGAGUGGCGGACGGGUGAGGAAUACAUCGGAAUCUACCCAGUCGUGGGGGUAUAACGUAGGGAAAACUUACGCUAAUACCGCAUACGACCUGAGGGUGAAAAGCAGGGGACCGCAAGGCCUUGCGCGAUUGGAUGAGCCGAUGUCGGAUUAGCUAGUUGGUGGGGUAAAGGCCCACCAAGGCGACGAUCCGUAGCUGGUCUGAGAGGAUGAUCAGCCACACUGGAACUGAGACACGGUCCAGACUCCUACGGGAGGCAGCAGUGGGGGAAACUAUCGGACAAUGGGCGCAAGCCUGAUCCAGCCAUGCCGCGUGUGUGAAGAAGGCCUCGGUUGUAAGCACUUUGUGGGUAAGGAAAAUCCUGUUGGUUAAUACCCGGCGGGAAUGACGGUACCAAAGAAUAAGCACCGGCUAACUUCGUGCCAGCAGCCGCGGUAAUACGAAGGGUGCAAGCGUUACUCGGAAUUACUGGGCGUAAAGCGUGCGUAGGUGGUUCGUUAAGUCUGCCGUGAAAGCCCCGGGCUCAACCUGGGAAUGGCGGUGGAUACUGGCGGACUAGAGUGCGGUAGAGGGUGGUGGAAUUCCCGGUGUAGCAGUGAAAUGCGUAGAGAUCGGAGGAACAUCUGUGGCGAAGGCGGCCACCUGGACCAGCACUGACACUGAGGCACGAAAGCGUGGGGAGCAAACAGGUUAGAUACCCUGGUAG